GGGCAUGUGGCUCAGUUGGUAGAGCGCUCGCUUAGCAUUUGCAAUUGCGAGAGGUCUUGGGUUCGAUUCCCAACCUGUCCA
This is a transfer RNA of Botryobasidium botryosum FD-172 SS1, 81 nucleotides long. It matches the Rfam family "tRNA". From Rfam's summary of the family: Transfer RNA (tRNA) molecules are approximately 80 nucleotides in length. Their secondary structure includes four short double-helical elements and three loops (D, anti-codon, and T loops). Further hydrogen bonds mediate the characteristic L-shaped molecular structure. tRNAs have two regions of fundamental functional importance: the anti-codon, which is responsible for specific mRNA codon recognition, and the 3' end, to which the tRNAs corresponding amino acid is attached (by aminoacyl-tRNA synthetases). tRNAs cope with the degeneracy of the genetic code in two manners: having more than one tRNA (with a specific anti-codon) for a particular amino acid; and 'wobble' base-pairing, i.e. permitting non-standard base-pairing at the 3rd anti-codon position. The record is from Rfam. NCBI's taxonomy places the organism in Eukaryota, Fungi, Basidiomycota, Agaricomycetes, Cantharellales, Botryobasidiaceae.